Long non-coding RNA from Nothoprocta perdicaria, 208 nucleotides. RefSeq lists it as uncharacterized. The record is from RefSeq and is a predicted model, not a curated record. The transcript is spliced from 2 exons. NCBI's taxonomy places the organism in Eukaryota, Metazoa, Chordata, Aves, Tinamiformes, Tinamidae.
AAAGCUUCACCCCACAGUCCAUCCUGCAGCAAAUGUCCCCCUCACAGCUACACGCUUGAUGAAGCAUCCACAUCUUGCCUGUGUGAAGAGCACUAUUUUAGGAGAGAAUCAGACCCACCUACAAUGGCCUGUACAAGACCCCCCUCUGCUCCUCGGAGUGCCAUCUCAAAUGUAAACGAGACUAGUGUCUUUCUGGAAUGGAUUCCCC